GCCGGCGUGGCGGAACUGGCAGACGCGCGCGACUCAAAAUCGCGUGGUACUUGGUACCGUGUGGGUUCAAUUCCCUCCGCCGGCA
This 85-nucleotide transfer RNA is filed under the name Elusimicrobiota bacterium. RNAcentral's name for it is "Elusimicrobia bacterium (groundwater metagenome) tRNA-Leu". It matches the Rfam family "tRNA". Rfam says of the family: Transfer RNA (tRNA) molecules are approximately 80 nucleotides in length. Their secondary structure includes four short double-helical elements and three loops (D, anti-codon, and T loops). The record is from RNAcentral. Lineage: Bacteria; Pseudomonadati; Elusimicrobiota.